Non-coding RNA from Phrynosoma platyrhinos (Desert horned lizard), 71 nucleotides. The record is from the annotation of a GenBank genome assembly. Lineage: Eukaryota; Metazoa; Chordata; Lepidosauria; Squamata; Phrynosomatidae.
GCUAGUGUGGUGCAGGGGUUUGAACAUCAGACUAGAAUUCUGGAGACUAGGGUUCGAAUCCCGCUCGGCCA